AUACGUAGGGGGCAAGCGUUAUCCGGAAUUAUUGGGCGUAAAGAGUGCGUAGGCGGUUACCUAAGCAGGGGGUGAAAGGCACUGGCUUAACCAAUGUCAGCCCCCUGAACUGGGCUACUUGAGUGCAGGAGAGGCAAGUGGAAUUCCUAGUGAAGCGUGGAAAUGCGUAGAUAUUAGGAGGAACACCAGUGGCGAAGGCGACUUUCUGGACUGUUACUGACACUGAGGCACGAAAGUGUGGGGAGCAAACAGGAUUAGAUACCCUGGUAGUCCACACCGUAAACGAUGAGCACUAGGUGUCGGGGAAGCAAUUCUUCGGUGCCGCAGUUAACGCAUUAAGUGCUCCGCCUGGGGAGUACGUACGCAAGUAUGAAACUUAAAGGAAUUGACGGGG
RNAcentral lists this ribosomal RNA (394 nucleotides) under uncultured bacterium. RNAcentral's name for it is "partial 16S ribosomal RNA". It matches the Rfam family "Bacterial small subunit ribosomal RNA", at positions 523 to 918 of the family's 1533-position model. The record is from RNAcentral.